UAGGCGACCGGCGCACGGGUGGAGUAACACGUAUCCAACCUGCCGAUAACUCGGGGAGUAGCCUUUCGAAAGAAAGAUUAAUAUCCGAUAGCAUAUUGAGAUCGCAUGAUUUUGAUAUUAAAGAAAUUUCGGUUAUCGAUGGGGAUGCGUUCCAUUAGUUUGUUGGCGGGGUAACGGCCCACCAAGACUACGAUGGAUAGGGGUUCUGAGAGGAAGGUCCCCCACAUUGGAACUGAGACACGGUCCAA
RNAcentral lists this ribosomal RNA (248 nucleotides) under uncultured bacterium. RNAcentral's name for it is "partial 16S ribosomal RNA". It matches the Rfam family "Bacterial small subunit ribosomal RNA", at positions 88 to 334 of the family's 1533-position model. The record is from RNAcentral.